This 602-nucleotide ribosomal RNA is filed under the name Stomatella impertusa B STW-2009. RNAcentral describes it as "partial 16S ribosomal RNA". It matches the Rfam family "Bacterial large subunit ribosomal RNA", at positions 1817 to 2597 of the family's 2925-position model. Lineage: Eukaryota; Metazoa; Mollusca; Gastropoda; Trochida; Trochidae. The record is from RNAcentral.
GUCUCUCUGUAUUUCAGUUGUAUAGGGAGUCGAACCUGCCCGGUGACUAAGUGUUAAACGGCCGCGGUACCCUAACCGUGCAAAGGUAGCAUAAUCAUUUGCCUUUUAAUUGGAGGCUGGUAUGAAUGGUUUGACGAAAGCCAAGCUGUCUCUUCCGGAAUAAGUAGAAUUUAACUUUUAGGUGAAGAGGCCUAAAUUUAUUUGAGGGACAAGAAGACCCUGUUGAGCUUUAGUGAAGUUACGAGUUUAAGAAGCAGUGUAAAACAGAAAGGGUGUUGGGGUCGGAAGGAUAACGGGCUCUUUAAAAGCUAUAUGUAGUUAUUAUAAUUUCUUUCGUAAUGAAUCUUUAGUUGGGGCGACUGAGGAACAUAAGAAGCUUCCUUGAUAAGUUGAGUUAUAGAUAUCUAGGAGUCUAUAUUAUCUUUACGAAGUAAUGUUGAUCCAAAAUUUUUGAUCAAUGGAAAAAGUUACCACAGGGAUAACAGCGUAAUCUUUCUGGAGAGAUCUAAUCGAAAGGAGGGUUUGCGACCUCGAUGUUGGACUAAGAUAUCCGGAGGGUGCAGAAGCUCUCGAAGGUUGGUCUGUUCGACCAUUAAAAUCUU